CGUGUAGGCGGGUAGACAAGUCAGAUGUGAAAUACCGGGGCUCAACUCCGGGGCUGCAUUUGAAACUGUAUAUCUUGAGUGUCGGAGAGGAAAGCGGAAUUCCUAGUGUAGCGGUGAAAUGCGUAGAUAUUAGGAGGAACACCAGUGGCGAAGGCGGCUUUCUGGACGAUAACUGACGCUGAGGCGCGAAAGCGUGGGAGCAAACA
RNAcentral lists this ribosomal RNA (206 nucleotides) under uncultured bacterium. RNAcentral's name for it is "partial 16S ribosomal RNA". It matches the Rfam family "Bacterial small subunit ribosomal RNA", at positions 568 to 774 of the family's 1533-position model. The record is from RNAcentral.